CAUUAGAUAACUUAAAGUAAGUACUGGUCUCUUAAAUCAUCUAAUAAUAAAUUAACGCAUAUUUCUAAUGA
RNAcentral lists this transfer RNA (71 nucleotides) under Phloiophilus edwardsi. RNAcentral's name for it is "tRNA-Lys". Lineage: Eukaryota; Metazoa; Arthropoda; Insecta; Coleoptera; Phloiophilidae. The record is from RNAcentral.